GCUCCCGCGCGGCGUUCGCGGCGGCUGGACGGCCACCCCCGGAGCGCGCCGCGACCCCGCUGAGGCCUGUUGGCCCGGUCCCGGUCGGUCCUGGGCUCCAGUCGCGGGCGGCGGCGGGCGGCGCGGCGGACUCCGCGCUGCGUGGGCUGCUAGCGGGACGGCCGCGCUCCAUGGCGACUCCGGCUCCGAUUUCCCCGGCGUGCACUGCAAAGGAGCGGGCGGCCGUGAGCCCCGGCCUCGCGGCCUCGCCCUCGCCCUCGAGUCCCCAGGUGCUGAGCUGCUCCUGAAGGCGCCCAGGGCUCAGGCUCCGGUCCCCGCUGACACACCCCGCCCGCCCGCCCGCCCGCCCGCCCGCCCGGGGAAACGGGGCUGCAGGACUCGGCCUCACCUCGGACUUGGCGUCACCUCACCUUUCCUCCCCCCACCGCAGCGGCCGUGCGGGGUUCGGCUGAGCAGGGCUAGGCGGCCAAGGGCGUCGAGCGGGUGGGUCACUCCAUCCUUGUCCAGGCUCUGCGCCGCCUUUUAUGUGGGCGUCCGAAGCCAGCAAAGCCACGUCGGGCCGAGAGGGUCUCCCACCCGAGCCCUUGGGUUAGGGGCAGCGGCGUCCCGGAGCCGCCCCCUCGGCGGAUAGACUCAUCAAUCAAACCGCUCGGGGGUGGGGCGGACGCCUGGCCCCGCCCCCUCUGGCCGGAAGGUUGAGAGUAGUUUACGGUGGUCCAGCUGGGACGGGACCCGGGGGUUUAGUACAGCGGGACUUCAGGAGCAGAGCCGUCGCGUGUGCGUCCCCGUCCGCCUUUAAUUCUACAAGGUGAAGAUUCUUGCAGUAGAAGCCUUUCCUCAGUACACCGUGACCUAGAGACCCGCCACCGCCACGGCCGCCUUCCGGCCUCGGCACCCGCUCGCCCACAGGCUCAGGCUGACCCCGGCGCCGGCGGGACUCAGUGCUGCAGCCCGUGGCGGACGCGGUUCUCGCCGCAGCCCAGCCAGAUUCUCUGAACCGGGAUAGGAAUCAGCGCGGUUUCCUCUUUGCAGGUUCUGAGUAUCAGAUAUGAAAUGUCACUGAGGGCAAGGCUAGUUUAUAGAUUCGCGAACAUUUCGCUGCAGAUUUCUAACUUUCCACGUCGGGAAUACCAAACAGUAAGAUAGCAACGCAGGACUUUUUAUACCACGAUGGACCGAAACGUGGACUUGUCAGUGAAUCACGGUGAUUCUAAGACUGUAAUGGGCUUUAGGCUUUAGAACGCACACUCAGAUUUCCUUGAUUCAAAAGGACUUGUGUUGAAUAAGAAACCACAUAAUACGAAACCACAUUUUAUUUCCUGGCAAAUUUUAUUUAAUAGCUAAUAAAGUAAAUAGAUCCCAGAAUUCACGCAC
Molecule: long non-coding RNA, 1374 nt
Filed under: Mus musculus (house mouse)
Lineage: Eukaryota; Metazoa; Chordata; Mammalia; Rodentia; Muridae
Description: long non-coding RNA chr1:9967313-9968687
Source: RNAcentral